UGGGGAAUUUUGGACAAUGGGCGAAAGCCUGAUCCAGCAAUGCCGCGUGUGUGAAGAAGGCCUUCGGGUUGUAAAGCACUUUUGUCCGGAAAGAAAUGGCUCUGGUUAAUACCUGGGGUCGAUGACGGUACCGGAAGAAUAAGGACCGGCUAACUACGUGCCAGCAGCCGCGGUAAUACGUAGGGUCCAAGCGUUAAUCGGAAUUACUGGGCGUAAAGCGUGCGCAGGCGGUUGUGCAAGACCGAUGUGAAAUCCCCGAGCUUAACUUGGGAAUUGCAUUGGUGACUGCACGGCUAGAGUGUGUCAGAGGGGGGUAGAAUUCCACGUGUAGCAGUGAAAUGCGUAGAGAUGUGGAGGAAUACCGAUGGCGAAGGCAGCCCCCUGGGAUAACACUGACGCUCAUGCACGAAAGCGUGGGGAGCAAACAGGAUUAGAUACCCUGGUAGUCCACGCCCUAAACGAUGUCAACUAGUUGUUGGGGAUUCAUUUCCUUAGUAACGUAGCUAACGCGUGAAGUUGACCGCCUGGGGAGUACGGUCGCAAGAUUAAAAGCUCAAAUG
RNAcentral lists this ribosomal RNA (560 nucleotides) under uncultured bacterium. Its description in RNAcentral is "partial 16S ribosomal RNA". It matches the Rfam family "Bacterial small subunit ribosomal RNA", at positions 355 to 907 of the family's 1533-position model. The record is from RNAcentral.